GUUGGACACAGCAGUCAGAGCACAGGUGCGCCGAAAAUCCACCCACCGACUUCUACAAAUAACAACAUGAGUUCAGACGGCCUGCAGACUUAACAGCAUCCAAACAAGGUGUCUGCUGACAAGUCAGGGAUUGGAGCGGCGCGCUGAGGGACGCCGUGUUGGGCAAGGCUGGCUGGAGAAACAACAUGGCUGUAUC
This is a long non-coding RNA of Notothenia coriiceps (black rockcod), 196 nucleotides long. RefSeq lists it as uncharacterized. The transcript is spliced from 3 exons. Lineage: Eukaryota; Metazoa; Chordata; Actinopteri; Perciformes; Nototheniidae. The record is from RefSeq and is a predicted model, not a curated record.